Molecule: unclassified non-coding RNA, 235 nt
Filed under: Hevea brasiliensis (rubber tree)
Lineage: Eukaryota; Viridiplantae; Streptophyta; Magnoliopsida; Malpighiales; Euphorbiaceae
Source: RNAcentral
GGAAAUAGUUGUAAUAGCGUAACCUCAUGCAUGUUUUUCUUGUGUUAAAAGUCUUAGGUCUAAGAUAUGGUGGUUGUGAGGGUGAUUUGGUGGGUCUCCAUGUUUUGUAUUAUUGACCCAUUAUCANNNNNNNNNUGAGAAGGGUUGACAUAUUAGAUUAAUCUUUUUUAACGCUUAAUCAAAUACUCCUUUCUCCCUACUCAAACACAGCAAAACUACUUUUGAGAAAACGGGC